CUGGACAGUACGUUGGUGUCCUCCACUGUUUGGCAGUGUAGCGUCUCUCAACGUUAAAGACUUUUUGAAGUAAAGAGGAGCAUCUCAUCUGAACCUGAUGUGAGUAGAAUUGUGUGGCAAAGCACAACUGAUGUGACGUGUAUGUUGAAUAUAAAUCAUUUGAAAUUUGGACCAUGAUUAAACUGUUCCUUCCUUCAAAGGUCUAUCAUGGAUAUUUAACUGCAGUUCUGGGAGUAUCCCAACUUAACCAUGAAGAUGAACUGCAAACUAAGUCAUUAAUUUCUCAUUACUCUUGGGCACAUUGAUGUAUUUUGGCUUCCUGGUGAGUUAACCUGUUACCUGAAGGUUGAUCUGAGUAGUAAGGAUGUUUUAUUGGUUCAUGGGUUUCUUAGGUGUUUGGUUUAUGUUGGUUUUAAUGAUUUGUUAAAAUGGUUAGGCUCCACGUUGUUGUUGUAAGCUGGAGUAAUGGGUUGGGUUCUGAUAUCUUCAGUCUUCUUUCAUUCUACUCUCCUGAGCUCUGCAUCUUCAUCACUUGUGUUGCGUUACUGAUGAGGGUGUCGUCUGAGUGAGCGGAGGUGCAUACUGGGAUACAGAGCUGUCUGAAGUCUACAGGUCCGUAGACACGCCCCCUCAGGGGAAACCAAGUGUUUGAGAAAAUGUCGUGACGUCAGUUACAUGGACUGGAAUGUUCUUUAAAAUGGACUCGGGGAUUCCGAAGGAGAAACACCAGGGGGAGAUGAGGGGGCUCCUCAUCUCAACGACUAAAACACAACUUCAGUCUGACACAGAGAACCAUGGAACACAUUCAACAGUCCCCUCCAGGCAUCGUGACUCCUCAGGAACGGUUUCAUUUCCAUGAAGGUCUUAUUUGGGGCCAUCCCCAGAUGGAUCCUGCUCCUCAAGAGCCACCCCCCUCCACUGUGUGGUCUUCUGAACAGAUGACCUCCUUCCUGUCCUCAGGCUGACUAAAGCUGCACCGUGUGCAUCUGUGAAGGCCCCUCAUUCAGGAAACCACUGGACUACAAAGACAUGACUUCAGAGACGUUGAAUCAACCUGGGACAUAUUUUGGAGACGCCAAGCAUAAUCCAUCACCAACGUGUGACGCAACUGAAGAAUGUGGCACAUAAGUAAUCGUCUCUGGAGACAUUCAAUUUCAAUUCAAUUCAAUUUUAUUUGUAUAGCCCUUAAUCACCAUUACAGUCUCAAAGGGCUUAACAGGCCAAAUAUUUGUGACACCCCCCUUUACCCAUGCCCCCACACGGGCAAGAAAAAACUCCCUUGAAUCAGCAAGGAAGAAAUCUUGAGAAGAAACGCAGUGUAGGGGAUCCCUUCUUCCAGGGAUGGUCAGGAGUGCAAUGGGUGCCACAAAUGGCAUACAAACAUGUACAUCAUAUUAAAAUGGUGAUGGGGUUCUGGCCGGUUAUCCAUGAGGAGAGUCCAGGCAUCCAGUCCAGCACCCGCAGCACGCUACAACUGACAGAAUAGUGAAUUAGAACGGAAAAGUACAUAGUGGGAAUGUAUAAUGUAAUAAGAAAAGCACAAGCAAACAGAGUAGUCUUCACUACGCAUCUGUUGUUUUCACACUCCAAAUUAAAGAUUGUAGAGGUGUGUUUUAAGCUUACCUUUGAAUAGCUCCACAGAGUCAGCUUCCCUGAUCGCUGAUGGCAGCCUAUUCCAUAAAAAGGGGGCUCGAUAGGCAAAUGCUCUCUGUCCAGCCGAUUUCUUUUUAACCUUCGGCAAUGAAAGAAGGCCGGCUCCCGAAGACCGGAGAGACCGAGAAGGACUAUAAGGAAUAAUCAGGUCCUUCAGGUACAAUGGAGAUAGUCCAUGCAAGGCUUUAUAGGUUAGCAAUAGCACCUUAAAGUCUGAUCUGAAAGUUAUUGGUAGCCAAUGUAAAGAGGCGAGAAUAGGUGUAAUAUGAUCAAACUUUCUCGUUCUGGUCAGCAAUCUAGCUGCCGCAUUGUGUACCAGCUGUAGACUCUUUGUAGUAGAGUUCGGUAAUCCCGAGAACAGUGCAUUGCAAUAGUCCAGUCUUGACGAGACAAACGCAUGAAUCAGUGUCUCUGCAUCCACUACAGAUAACAUUGAUCUGAUUCUUGCAAUGUUUCUCAAAUGGAAAAAGGCAAUUCUAGUUAUACUUCUUAUAUGCUGAUCAAAGCAUAGUUGAGGGUCAAACAAGACACCAAGAUUUCUGACGGAUGCACUCUGUGGGAUGGCGAAGCCAUCCAACCACAGAGACAUCCUCAAACUUUUCCCGGUCCCGCUUCGAGCCGAUAAUCAUCAGCUCUGUCUUCCCAGUAUUAAGCUGUAGGAAGUUUUGUGACAUCCAGCCCUUCACAGCAGCCAAACAGGACUCAACCUUUUGAAUCUGUGCAGAAUCCCCGGAACAUUGGUUGUUCUGUUCUGGGUGCCCUGGCAGGAGAGCUGGGGGGGGUGAUGAAAUGUUAUUUGGCAUGAGGUUUUUACCCUGCAUGAUUGUUUGGCCUUUUAUGGCUCAGUGGUGUGUGUGUUUGGGUUUGACAUGAGAUGGAUGAUUUGUGAGCAUCGCUAGGGUUCUACUGUGUAUGUGUCUCCCACUCACACCUGGCUUGGGGUUCUACGUGCCUGUCCUGGGUUCUAUGUGUGUGUCUGGCUUGCUUUGACAGUGAUAAUGUUCAUACGGGGGUCUUUGUGAUUGGCUUGGGAUAUUGGAAUGGUCAAAUAAAUCAUACCUGAUGGACGGCCACACGUUUACUUAAGGGCCUCCAGUAGACCUGAAGAGCCCUGAGCGACGCCCAGGAGCGAUAUUCAACACACUGGGCAGGAAGGAGAGUAUCCAGAUCAAGUGUAAAAGGAUGCAAGCGGCGUGUUCAGAUCAGUGACUUGAAACUAGGACUACACCAAUCAGGAUCAAUGGAGGAUGGACACCUAAAGGCAUUCACAAGGAGAGUCUGACGUUGGAAAGGGACCUAAAUGGAUAUUCAAGGUAACCUUCAGACCUGUAAUGAGACGGCUCUUCCUACCUUGCUGGAUUGAUGGAGAGCCUUGUGGAUCUUGUCUUGCUCUCAGUUGCACGUCUUCUCAGGCUGAACUGUAUUCGUUUCGGACCGGACAAGCUGAACGAUUGGUUCCCUUAAAUCAGAACCAGUCCGGGAACUCCAGCUCGUGCGCUCUUCGAGCUGAAGUUGUGCUCUUCAGCUGAGGUCAGGAAACCUUCACUGGGGCUUCAAGCUGUAAAAAGGAGAAUGUUUCAAAGUGUUCCAUGGUACUCUGAUGAGGACCGUUGUUGUGUUCCACUGGCUGAGAGGAAGAACCCUCACAUCUUACUCUUGGCCUUUCUCCUCUGAGAAUCCUGGCGCCAUCUUGAAGGAUAUUCCAGCUCAUGUAAUUGAUGUCACGACAGAUUCUCACACAUUUGGUUUCUCCUGAGGGGCGUGUCUAUAGAACUGAAGACUUCAGACGGCACUGUAUCCCUGCAUGCAUCUCUGCUCACUCAGACCACCCCCCCAUGAGUAGGAUGCUACAUUCUAGUGAUGGAGAUGUAGAGUUUUAUAAGUAACAAGGGAGCAGACAAAGGUGAUUAGAACACAAUGGCAUGUCAAGUCUGUAAAUCUUUAAACCAUGAAGAUGGUUGGAUAGUUCAGGAAUUGGGCUUCUAUUUAUUAUGAGCAGUCCUUUCGCUCAGAUGCCCACUUCUCACUGGACCUGUACAUGUGUUGGCUGGCUUGCAUGAUUUGCUGUUGGUGAUGAGGCGGUCAAGGUGACGUUGCAGGGCUAUGGUCGGCUCUCUGUGAGUUCAACGGUUAGAUUUGCUCUGUAUGGUUUGUACCCUGAAUAAUCUAGAUAAUUGUAAAAUGGAGACACUGUUUUGUAGUGAAUGAUUCCAUUGUUCUUAGGCAAGGAUUUGAGGUUUAAAGUUGUUGUGGGACGUACAUGGUAGUUUGGUUCUUCGUACGGUUUUGAGUGAUAUAACAUGUACACACUGGGUGCAUAAUAAUGUAAAGGUACACUGAAUGGUAGUAAUGACCAACAGCAACAAACAGAUCUCGUCAAGGUAAGUCUGUUGGCUGUGUUUUAAUGUAGACCAUCGCUGGACUUCAGGAUCUUCCUCCGUUCAGCUCAAGGUGAGGAGCUGGUUCUGUUUUUUCUUUGGUUGGUUCCGGCCGGAAUGUUCGGAUUCCAGUCGGACGGUUUGUGCUUCCCGCCGUGGAAGGUUCUGAGUGCCGUCACUUGAUUUAGUCCCAAUGGUUAGCAUAGAACGUUGUAGUCUUGACAACCAUUAGAAACCACCUGGCAGUUAGUUGGUCAGGAGUCCCCUGAGGGAAUCUGGCUGAACGUUCUGGAUUGUAUUUGAGUAACCUCGAGCCGUUGCCAACGGAAACUAUUUUUCAGUCGGUUUCCAUUGGGAAUUGUUGCCCCUUAUCUUAAACAACUUAAAUUUGAUAUUAAAUACAUACUGACAAGUAAGUCGUACAAUACAGUGUUGAUAAUUUCCGAUGGUUGCGCCGUACUUUUAACCACGGUGACGGGACUCUCGCUGCGUACAAAACGGCGUUCUACUUGCGGCCCCAUUUUUGACAUCAGUGAAGGCUGAAAAUCAUUACAAGGUGGAAGACAAUUUGACAUUUCUUCAAAGGAACCCAGCACCUGAAUAUGGCUGAGUAUAUUUGAUUUAAUAUCGAUAUUGCUUACUGUUCUUUGUUACUUCAGCUUUUGUACGUUCUAAAUAUCUGCUGUCAUUAAUUGCCACAGAAGAUAAACCCUACCCAAUGGAAUGACGUUAAACAAAGACUUUGGUGCAGAUUUACCAACUGGAUAAUAUCAAAGCUAAAAUAUUGGCCUUCAUUCCCAUAUGUUACAGUAGAAGAUACUCUAGAACUGUACAAGGUUAAAAAGGUAACAUGUAGUUUGUACCAUGGUGUCUGCCUCCACCUCCUCACCCAGAGCAAGACCUCCACCUCCUCACCCAGAGCAAGACCUCCACCUCCUCACCCAGAGCAAGACCUCCACCUCCUCACCCAGAGCCAGACCUUCACCUCCUGUCAGAAGUCCUCCAGAACAGGUCAGUGCACUGGUGUGUGAGUAGAGUCUUCUCAGGUCAGUUUCAAUGCAUGGCCUGAACCACUUCUUUAAACUUGUGGACUGCUCUGUCUUCAUUCCCAAAAACGGGAUGCUCAUGUCUGGUCUCAAGUCCUUUCUAGCCUUGAGUUAUAAAAUAAUAGUUCAAUUAAUUGUAACUCGGUUUCAGAUGAGUCAAUUGAGUUAUUUUUGGGCAAAUUCUGAUAUAACCCUGCUGCUGUAUCUGAAAUGCGAGGCUGAGAGGCUGGGGUCCGGAGGCUUGUGGUGCCAGGGUGGACCGGAGACUGAGGCUGGAGACCAGCGGCCUGCAGCACCGGACCAGAGGACCAGCUGAUGGAGGAGCCGUGCUGAAGGCCCUGCCUGGUGGAGGAGCUGGUGGAGGCCCUGCCUGGUGAAGGACGUCUGUCGUGGGGACUCUGUCUGAGGGGAGCUGCUGGAGGAGCUGAGACGCUGGAGGACGACUAGGAAUCGACCAACAAGGAUUCCUCACUUUAGGGCCGGACUCGGGCUGUUUGUUCCAGACCAGGACUCUGGCUGAGGAGAGCUGAUGGAGGAGCCAAGACUCUGGAGGACGACAUCACUCCACCAACCAGGAUCCUCAGACAAAUUACGUUUGUAACCAGACCAGGAAUCUGGAGGACUGAUGGAGAAGCCGUACAUCUGGAAAGCAAAUCCUGAGGACAACCAGGACUGUCUGACCUCCAGUGGGAGUGAUCUUCUUGACCCAACAUGUAACCGUGUGCUUCCACACGCCUUUCCCUCACAUCUGUCACUAACCUCACUACUUCACUACUCUCUACUGCUUCCUCUUUUCUUCCUUCUGGUUCAAACCUUUACACUGAAGGCGCGCCUUCCUGCCCUCAGAGGGUUCAGAGUUAGGGUUGAGAGUCAGGGUUUAGAGUCAGGGACAGAGCUGGUCAGGGAGGACUGCUUUUACACAAACCUCUUCACUUGCUUUCGGAAUGGUGGUGACAUUUUGAAAAGAUUCAUUUGGGAAAAUGAAAAUGUCUACUUUCCUUUACAAAAGUGUACUAAACUAUUGUCAUGUGUUUUUGUUUAUAU
This is a long non-coding RNA of Gadus chalcogrammus (walleye pollock), 6121 nucleotides long. RefSeq lists it as uncharacterized. The transcript has 6 exons. The record is from RefSeq and is a predicted model, not a curated record. Lineage: Eukaryota; Metazoa; Chordata; Actinopteri; Gadiformes; Gadidae.